Molecule: long non-coding RNA, 652 nt
Filed under: Schizosaccharomyces pombe (fission yeast)
Lineage: Eukaryota; Fungi; Ascomycota; Schizosaccharomycetes; Schizosaccharomycetales; Schizosaccharomycetaceae
Source: RNAcentral
AUGUUCAAAAUCAAAUUAAAUAGAUAACAAAGUGAAGAAAAUGUUUACAAGAAUCAAUGAAAUUUAUUUAAAAAAUAUUGUCAAAAUUAUUGCUAAAUAUAUGAUCAAAUUCAUUACCAAAAUAACAUUACCCAUCGAACACCCCUAACAACUUCCCAAAUUACAUUCAUCAAAUGAAUGGUAUACUCCGUCGCUCUUUCUAAUUCAUUCGGCCAUUCUAAAUCCAUGAUCAAAAGUUUAGUGCCGUCUGCUCCAAUAUCGACCAUUUUGAGAUUCGCUUAGCAAAAUGCGACACUUCUUCGGGCCCUAUCCAUUUUCCCGCUGAUAGACAUAGGAGUUUUGCAGCUUUGUCCAAUUCUCUUCCAAAGGGAAUUUCAAAUUGUUAACCUAGUAAAUGUAGUGGUGAAAGUGGUAUACUGAAUGUGCCUUCACAAUCCAUAUAAAUCGUCAACCUGAAGCCUGUGUUUUCCUCCAUACAAAGGUUUACACUUGCUGGGAACCUAGGCGGCAAAAAGCGUGAUGCCAUAUGUUUGGCCUUCAAGCAUUCUGUUCGUCUGUGCAUUUCACGUUUCAAUAAAAAACAUAUAGCGGCCGGAUGUUAUUGGCAUUUUCAAAAAUUGACAAAUUGUUAUCUCGAAAAAAAUUUCCCAUC